Molecule: ribosomal RNA, 407 nt
Filed under: uncultured bacterium
Lineage: Bacteria
Description: partial 16S ribosomal RNA
Rfam family: Bacterial small subunit ribosomal RNA
Source: RNAcentral
AUUGAACGCUGGCGGCAGGCCUAACACAUGCAAGUCGACCGGAGCGGCGGACGGGUGAGUAAUGCCUAGGAAUCUGCCUGGUCGUGGGGGAUAACGUCCGGAAAAGGGCGCUAAUACCGCAUACUAUCAGAUGAGCCUAGGUCGGAUUAGCUAGUUGGUGGGGUAAAGGCCUACCAAGGCGGCGAUCCGUAACUGGUCUGAGAGGAUUAUCGGUCACACGGGAACUGAUGCACGGUCCAGGCUGCUACGGGAGGCAGCAGGGGGGAAUAGGGGACAAUGGGAGAAAGCGUGAGCCCGCCAUGCCGCGUGUGUGAAGAAGUUCUUCGGAUUGUAAAGCACUUUAAGUUGGGAGGCGUUACCAACAGAAUAAGCACCGGCGAACUUCGUGGCAGCAGCCGCGGGUAUUC